RNAcentral lists this ribosomal RNA (1462 nucleotides) under uncultured marine bacterium. RNAcentral's name for it is "16S ribosomal RNA". It matches the Rfam family "Bacterial small subunit ribosomal RNA". The record is from RNAcentral.
AACGAACGCUGGCGGCAUGCCUCAUACAUGCAAGUCGAACGAGGUCUUCGGACCUAGUGGCGCACGGGUGAGUAACAUGUGGGAAUCUACCUGAAGGUUCGGAAUAACUGCGGGAAACUGUAGCUAAUACCGGAUGUGUCUGCAAAGAGAAAGAUUUAUCGCCUUCAGAUGAGCCCGCACUAGAUUAGCUAGUUGGUGAGGUAAUUGCUCCACCAAGGCUACGAUCUAUAGCUGAUUUGAGAGGAUGAUCAGCCACACUGGGACUGAGACACGGCCCAGACUCCUACGGGAGGCAGCAGUAGGGAAUAUUGGACAAUGGGGGAAACCCUGAUCCAGCAAUGCCGCGUGAGUGAAGAAGGCCUUCGGGUUGUAAAGCUCUUUCAUAAAUGAUGAUAAUGACAUUAGUUGAAGAAGAAGCCCCGGCUAACUUCGUGCCAGCAGCCGCGGUAAUACGAAGGGGGCUAGCGUUGUUCGGAAUCACUGGGCGUAAAGCGUAUGUAGGCGGAUCAAAAAGUUAGAUGUGAAAUCCCUGGGCUCAACCCAGGAACUGCAUUUAAAACUAGUGAUCUAGAAUUUGGUAGGGGUUAGUAGAAUUUCCAGUGUAGAGGUGAAAUUCGUAGAUAUUGGGAAGAAUACCAGUGGCGAAGGCGACUAACUGGGCCAUUUUUGACGCUGAGAUACGAAAGCGUGGGUAGCAAACAGGAUUAGAUACCCUGGUAGUCCACGCAGUAAACGAUGAGUGCUAGUCGCUGGGACAAUAGUUUCAGUGUCGAAGCUAACGCAUUAAGCACUCCGCCUGGGAAGUACGGUCGCAAGAUUAAAACUCAAAUAAAUUGACGGGGGCCCGCACAAGCGGUGGAGCAUGUGGUUUAAUUCGAAGCAACGCGAAGAACCUUACCAGACCUUGACAUGGUAUGUUUGAAUUACAGAAUCGUAAUUCUUCAGUUCGGCUGGCAUACACACAGGUGCUGCAUGGCUGUCGUCAGCUCGUGUCGUGAGAUGUUGGGUUAAGUCCCGCAACGAGCGCAACCCUCAUUUUUAGUUGCCAUCAGGUUAAGCUGGGCACUCUAAAAAAACUGCCGGUGAUAAGCUGGAGGAAGGCGGGGAUGACGUCAAGUCCUCAUGGCCCUUACGGUCUGGGCUACACACGUGCUACAAUGGUGGUGACAAUGGGCAGCAAUACUGCAAAGUAAAGCUAAUCCCAAAAAACCAUCUCAGUUCGGAUUGGACUCUGCAACUCGAGUCCAUGAAGUUGGAAUCGCUAGUAAUCGUAGAUCAGCGUGCUACGGUGAAUACGUUCUCGGGCCUUGUACACACCGCCCGUCACGCCAUGGGAGUUGGUUUUACCUUAAGCCGGUGCGCUAACCGCAAGGAAGCAGCCGUCCACGGUAGGGUCAGCGACUGGGGCGAAGUCGUAACAAGGUAACCGUAGGGGAACCUGCGGUUGGAUCACCUCCUUUCU